RNAcentral lists this ribosomal RNA (2430 nucleotides) under Triticum aestivum (bread wheat). Its description in RNAcentral is "partial small subunit ribosomal RNA". The record is from RNAcentral. Lineage: Eukaryota; Viridiplantae; Streptophyta; Magnoliopsida; Poales; Poaceae.
AUGCCGCCGAGCCCUGGUGCUGAUACCCAGAAGUUUGUGAUGGGAGACAUGGUUACGGAAUUGGACGAGGCAGGAGUAAGAAAUGCAGAGAACUCCACGGAACAGAGGGAGGCAUACAAUGUAGUUGACGAUGAAGGUUCCCCUGUACCUCUACUAAUGUUGCCUAGUGGAAAGAUUAAAUACCUAACACAGGAACCUGUUGGCAACCAAUCAAUGACAGAAGGAAGACUGCAACCAGCCGGUGAUAAUUACCAGGAACCUGUUGGCAAACAAUCAAUGACAGAAGGAACACUACAACCAGCUGGUGAUAAUGAUCAGGACCCAUCUUCAGAUAGUGUUGAAAAGAAUACAGAAGGACUACUGGCAGAUGGACAGGAUCAACAAACCAACUCAGUUUACCAUCCACUGCAGCAAGCCGAAGAAGAAAACCAGUUACAUGAUAAUGUGGAAAGCAACGAAAUGCUAAGGAACAAUAGCAGCAGUGAAACUGAUUCAGACAGCAGCUCAGGGAGCGACUCAGAUAGUGAAGUCGGAAAAUACUUCUAUCCUCAAAUUGAGCAAUUGGAGAUGGCAAAACAACCAGAGCCUGGAAUGAAAUUCCAAACCCUUGAAGAUGCGCACAGGUUUUAUAAUACAUAUGCUCUCCUAACAGGUUUUGAGGCAAAGCGCGGUACAAAUUACAUGAGGAAGAAGUUUCACCUCAUAUGCAACAGGAGUGGUAAAUCGAGGGCAACUCCGGACCUGCAGAGGAAGCGGAAGAGAAAAUCUAUAGAGAAGACAAAUUGCCAAGCCAAGGUAAUAGUGAAGCUCACUAAAGGCCAAUGGGAGUUCACAACAGUUCGUAAUGAGCAUAACCAUCCGCUCUGUCCAAGUGCUUCCCUCACAAAAUUCUACUUGAGCCACAAACACAUAUCAACUGAAGAAAGGUCAUUUCUGAAAGUUCUGCAACGAACUAGGAUACCUCCAAAUAAAGUUAUGAAGAUUUUUAGGAGAAUGAGAGGCAGCUUUGGAAGCAUACCAUUCAAGAAAAAAGAUGGGACCAAUUUACUAUGUGCAGAACAACAUAGAAAAGAGAACUCAGAUGUUGGAAGAAUGUUGAUGUACUUCAAAGAAAAGGAGCUUCAGGAUCCAAGUUUUCAAUGCAUGAAGCAAACAGAUGAAGACAACAUAGUUCGGAGUGUUUUCUGGACUGAUGCGAGGUCAAGGAUGGAUUAUGAGAUUUUUGGAGAUUUCCUGUUGUUUGAUACUACCUAUACCACAGAUAGGCAUAACAUGCUAUUUGCUCCUAUUAUUGGAUUAAAUAACCAUGGGAAAACCCUCUUGUUAGGAUGCGCCUUGUUACAUGACGAGAGCACUGAAACUUACAAAUGGAUGUUCGAAACACUUUUGCAUGUGAUGGAAGACAAAAUGCCAGUAUCAAUUAUAACAAACCAGGAUGAAGCUAUGGCAAAAGCAAUUGGAGAGGUCAUGCCACAAGUAAGGCAUCGGUUGUGCAAAUGGGAUGUACUGGAAAAGGCACAGCAAAAUAUUUCAGCCUUCAUAGCAGAAAGUGGCAACAUAAAAGCAGACCUGGAUAGCUUGGUUGACAACUCACUGACAGAAAAAGAAUUUGAAGAAGGGUGGGAUGCACUCAUUGAGAGAUACGGUGCAAGUGAAAACAAGUACCUACAAAUCUUGUGGCAAAGAAGGAAAAACUGGGUGCCUGUUUAUUUCAGAGAAGAUUUCUAUCCAUUUGUCCAAUCACAUGGAUGUGACAAAGGGAUGAACUUGUUAUUCAAUGACUAUGUGCUUUCUAUUGACAGAAUAGAGAAGUUCAUUGAAAGAUAUGAGGAGAUAUAUAAGAAUAUAACUAAAACAGAUGAAGAAGAUAGACUGCAAACAGGAACUGUACCUUCAUGCUUUUCAUUGCAGCCAAUAGAAAAGCAUGCAGCUGAUAUUUACACAAGGCAAAUAUUUCUGAAAGUACAGAGAGAACUUCUCCACUCUACCGCUUUCAACGUGCAGGAGGUCCAAAGAGGGGCUGUAUACCGACUAAACAAGGUUUUCAACUAUGAGAAUCCAGAGUUUGAUCGAAAUAACUUUGAAGUGCAGGUUGAAUCUGGCACCAAUGCAUUCAAAUGCCAGUGCGCAAAGUUUACCAGGGAUGGAGUACUGUGCUGCCACAUAUUCAGACUUUUCACACAGUUUGGAAUCAAUCAAAUACCAGAGCAGUACAUAGUGCCCAGAUGGACUGAAAAAUUCAGAGAAGAGAAGGAGAAACAGUACAAGGAAAAAUGCUCCGAGCAGAUGGACACUACAAUGAGAUACACAAAUUUUAUGACUAAAAUGGCUGACCUCGGCAAAACAAUAUGCAGCGAUGGCGCAAAAUACGACGCAUUCAUGCUUGAAGUCGACAAGAUUCAGGAGAACUUCGCAACGGCACAAAAAUAA